RNAcentral lists this ribosomal RNA (491 nucleotides) under uncultured bacterium. RNAcentral describes it as "partial 16S ribosomal RNA". It matches the Rfam family "Bacterial small subunit ribosomal RNA", at positions 29 to 506 of the family's 1533-position model. The record is from RNAcentral.
AGUGAACGCUGGCGGUAGGCCUAACACAUGCAAGUCGAACGGCAGCACAGUAAGAGCUUGCUCUUACGGGUGACGAGUGGCGGACGGGUGAGGAAUACAUCGGAAUCUACUUUUUCGUGGGGGAUAACGUAGGGAAACUUACGCUAAUACCGCAUACGACCUACGGGUGAAAGCAGGGGAUCUUCGGACCUUGCGCGAUUGAAUGAGCCGAUGUCGGAUUAGCUAGUUGGCGGGGUAAAGGCCCACCAAGGCGACGAUCCGUAGCUGGUCUGAGAGGAUGAUCAGCCAAACUGGAACUGAGACACGGUCCAGACUCCUACGGGAGGCAGCAGUGGGGAAUAUUGGACAAUGGGCGCAAGCCUGAUCCAGCCAUACCGCGGGGGUGAAGAAGGCCUUCGGGUUGUAAAGCCCUUUUGUUGGGAAAGAAAAGCAGCAGGUUAAUACCCCGCUGUUCUGACGGUACCCAAAGAAUAAGCACCGGCUAACUUCGU